UACGUAGGGUGCGAGCGUUAAUCGGAAUUACUGGGCGUAAAGCGUGCGCAGGCGGUUCGUUAUGUCCGAUGUGAAAGCCCCGAGCUCAACUUGGGAAUGGCAUUGGAAACUGGCGGGCUGGAGUGUGGCAGAGGGGGGUGGAAUUCCACGUGUAGCAGUGAAAUGCGUAGAGAUGUGGAGGAACGCCGAUGGCGAAGGCAGCCCCCUGGGCCAACACUGACGCUCAGGCACGAAAGCGUGGGGAGCAAACAGG
RNAcentral lists this ribosomal RNA (253 nucleotides) under uncultured bacterium. Its description in RNAcentral is "partial 16S ribosomal RNA". It matches the Rfam family "Bacterial small subunit ribosomal RNA", at positions 524 to 776 of the family's 1533-position model. The record is from RNAcentral.